RNAcentral lists this unclassified non-coding RNA (238 nucleotides) under Hevea brasiliensis (rubber tree). Lineage: Eukaryota; Viridiplantae; Streptophyta; Magnoliopsida; Malpighiales; Euphorbiaceae. The record is from RNAcentral.
CAAGUUUGGCCUGGACCUGUCUACUUCCCUGAUUUUUUAAAACCAGACACCACAACUUUCUGGAGGGAUGAGAUCAAACAGUUUCGAGAUAUCCUUCCUUUUGAUGGACUUUGGAUCGACAUGAAUGAGAUAUCCAAUUUCAUAACUUCCCCUUCAACACCAUUCUCCACCCUUGAUAAUCCCCCUUACAAGAUUAACAAUGCAGGAAUCCAACGACCAAUCAAUAAUAAGACAACAC